Molecule: ribosomal RNA, 775 nt
Filed under: uncultured Neocallimastigales
Lineage: Eukaryota; Fungi; Neocallimastigomycota; Neocallimastigomycetes; Neocallimastigales
Description: partial large subunit ribosomal RNA
Rfam family: Eukaryotic large subunit ribosomal RNA
Source: RNAcentral
UAUGUGAUCGUCUCUCGCAUAUCAAUAAGCGGAGGAAAAGAAACUAUCAAGGAUUCCUCUAGUAACGGCGAGUGAAGCGGGAAGAGCUCAAAUCUGAAAUCUUAAAGGGUUUCCCUUUACGAAUUGUAGUUUAAAGAAGUGUUUUCUGUUGAGGUUUUGGUAAAAGUUCUUUGGAAUAGGACAUCAUAGAGGGUGAGAAUCCCGUAUUUGACCUUUACUUUCAACUUUGUGAUACACUUUCAAAGAGUCGGAUUGUUUGGGAAUGCAGUCCAAAAUGGGUGGUAAAUUUCAUCUAAAGCUAAAUAUUGGCGAGAGACCGAUAGCGAACAAGUACCGUGAGGGAAAGAUGAAAAGAACUUUGAAAAGAGAGUUAAACAGUACGUGAAAUUGUCAAAAGGGAAGCGUUUGACACCAGUGUUGUUUUUCUGAAAAUCAAUUAAAGAACUGUUUAUGCUAAGUUGUUUAGACUUUAUCAGCUAACUGUUUAGUUUUGAGCUUUUCUUUAAUGCACUUUUCAGUUAACAAGUCAACAUCAAUUUCUUUCGCUGUAAAAAAGCUUGAGGAAGGUGGCUUGAGAUUCGUCUUAAGUGUUUAUAGCCUCUUGCCUAUGCAGUCGGAGAGAUUGAGGUCUGCAGCGUAGAUCCUUCGGGGCUAAAUGCAUUUGUGCUAAGUUAUAACAUUUUAUAGACAACAUUGUUGACUAUGAUUUGUCUUGUAGCUUACUCGCUUAUGUUAUUUUACCUACGCUUAGGAUGUUGAAGUCAUCGUAUCGCGC